UACGUAGGGUGCAAGCGUUAAUCGGAAUUACUGGGCGUAAAGCGUGCGCAGGCGGUUUUGUAAGUCUGACGCGAAAUCCCCGGGCUCAACCUGGGAAUUGCGUUGGAGACUGCAAGGCUGGAGUCUGGCAGAGGGGGGUAGAAUUCCACGUGUAGCAGUGAAAUGCGUAGAGAUGUGGAGGAACACCGAUGGCGAAGGCAGCCCCCUGGGUCAAGACUGACGCUCAUGCACGAAAGCGUGGGGAGCAAACAGG
RNAcentral lists this ribosomal RNA (253 nucleotides) under uncultured bacterium. RNAcentral describes it as "partial 16S ribosomal RNA". It matches the Rfam family "Bacterial small subunit ribosomal RNA", at positions 524 to 776 of the family's 1533-position model. The record is from RNAcentral.